This 397-nucleotide ribosomal RNA is filed under the name uncultured bacterium. RNAcentral's name for it is "partial 16S ribosomal RNA". It matches the Rfam family "Bacterial small subunit ribosomal RNA", at positions 523 to 918 of the family's 1533-position model. The record is from RNAcentral.
AUACGUAGGGGACAAGCGUUAUCCGGAUUUACUGGGCGUAAAGGGCGUGUAGGCGGUCUUGCAAGUCAGAAGUGAAAUUCCUGAGCUCAACUCGGGCGCUGCUUCUGAAACUGCAGGACUUGAGUGCUGGAGAGGUAAGUGGAAUUCCCAGUGUAGCGGUGAAAUGCGUAGAGAUUGGGAGGAACGCCAGUGGCGAAGGCGACUUACUGGACUGUAACUGACGCUGAGGCGCGAAAGUGUGGGGAGCAAACAGGAUUAGAUACCCUGGUAGUCCACACUGUAAACGAUGAAUGCUAGGUGUAGGGGGUAUCGACCCCUUCUGUGCCGCAGUCAACACAAUAAGCAUUCCGCCUGGGGUGUACGGCCGCAAGGUUGAAACUCAAAUGAAUUGACGGGG